This is a non-coding RNA of Oreochromis niloticus (Nile tilapia), 114 nucleotides long. Lineage: Eukaryota; Metazoa; Chordata; Actinopteri; Cichliformes; Cichlidae. The record is from Rfam.
GUGGGUUAUGGCGACAUGUGCCCCAUCACCAUGGGAGGCAAAAUGGUCGGCACUCUCUGUGCCAUUGCUGGUGUCUUGACCAUUGCCCUGCCUGUCCCUGUCAUCGUGUCCAAC